Molecule: ribosomal RNA, 465 nt
Filed under: uncultured bacterium
Lineage: Bacteria
Description: partial 16S ribosomal RNA
Rfam family: Bacterial small subunit ribosomal RNA
Source: RNAcentral
GAUGAACGCUGGCGGCGUGCUUAACACAUGCAAGUCGAACGGAAAGGCUCCUGCUUGCAGGGGUACUCGAGUGGCGAACGGGUGAGUAACACGUGGGUGAUCUGCCCUGCACUUCGGGAUAAGCCUGGGAAACUGGGUCUAAUACCGGAUAGGACGAUGGUUUGGAUGCCAUUGUGGAAAGUUUUUCGGUGUGGGAUGAGCUCGCGGCCUAUCAGCUUGUUGGUGGGGUAAUGGCCUACCAAGGCGUCGACGGGUAGCCGGCCUGAGAGGGUGUACGGCCACAUUGGGCCUGAAGUGCGGCCCAGCCCCCUAGGGGGGGGGACGGGGGGAAAUUUUGCACAAGGGGCGCAGGCUUGAUGCAGCGGCGCCGGGGGGGGGAUGGCGGCCUUCGGUUUGUAAACUCCUUUCGCUGGGGACGAAGCGCAAGUGACGGUCCCGGGAAAAAAAGCCCCGGCUAACUACGUG